This is a long non-coding RNA of Telopea speciosissima, 252 nucleotides long. RefSeq lists it as uncharacterized. The transcript has 3 exons. NCBI's taxonomy places the organism in Eukaryota, Viridiplantae, Streptophyta, Magnoliopsida, Proteales, Proteaceae. The record is from RefSeq and is a predicted model, not a curated record.
AAAUACAGAUUUAGUAAUUAAAGAAGCUGUUAGAUUCAAGGAAUAAGCUCAGAAAACAGGAAUAAGAGGGAUCACUUAUUAACAAUCAACAAAAUACCUAGGACAAUGAAUUGCAUGCCUUGGUGAUACAUGAAUAUAAUGAUACACGACCACUUCAUGUAUGAGAACACAAUUGUAGGCUUUUGUUGGAAGUCAGAAUGCAAACAGGAGACAAAGAAUCACCAACAACUUCUAAGUACUUCCAAAAGGGAA